RNAcentral lists this transfer RNA (74 nucleotides) under Actinomycetes bacterium. RNAcentral describes it as "Actinobacteria bacterium tRNA-Gly". It matches the Rfam family "tRNA". From Rfam's summary of the family: Transfer RNA (tRNA) molecules are approximately 80 nucleotides in length. Lineage: Bacteria; Bacillati; Actinomycetota; Actinomycetes. The record is from RNAcentral.
GCGGGCGUAGCUCAAUGGUAGAGCCCCGUCCUUCCAAGUCGGUUAUGCGGGUUCGAUUCCCGCCGCCCGCUCUA